CUUCCUCCAUCUGAGCAAUCAGCAUGAAUUUGGCCGGCUCCUGGCCACUUCCCGAUACGACACGGAGCACCUGCACCCUGACCUCUGGCAGAUCUUCGACAACCCCGUCGUGAGUGGGGCCCCCACGCCCAGAGCACACAGGUUCCCCGCUCUGUGCUAAGGAAGACACCAAACGUGAUGGCUGCCGCCAGCGCAGGACACUGAGCGGGAGGGGGUGGUCCCCUGGGGGCUGGGAGCGAGGGGGUCACAGAUCUGAUGUGACCCCCACCCUCCCACAGGAUUGGAAGGAGCAGUACAUCCACGAGAACUACAGCCGGGCCCUGGAAGGGGAAGGAAUCGUGGAGCAGCCAUGCCCGGACGUGUACUGGUUCCCACUGCUAUCAGAACAAAUGUGUGAUGAGCUGGUGGCAGAGAUGGAGCACUACGGCCAGUGGUCAGGUGGCCGGCAUGAGGUAAGGGCCUGGGUGAGGAGGGCAGAGGGCUCCCCAGAGGAGGAAGUGCGGGAUCCGGUAAACAAACAAUGGAAUCAGGAAAAUGGGAGCAAAGAGGGGUGCCCAAGGGGGAGGCAGACUCUGGGGUCACAACUGCAUUCAUUCAUGUAUUCAAGAAAUAUUUACUGCUGGGCACAGUGGCUCAUGCCUGUAAUCCUAGCACUUUGGGAGGCUGAGGCGGGAGGAUUGCUCGAGCAGGGGGAGUUUGAGGCCAGCCUGGG
Molecule: small RNA, 712 nt
Filed under: Pongo abelii (Sumatran orangutan)
Lineage: Eukaryota; Metazoa; Chordata; Mammalia; Primates; Hominidae
Description: retained intron
Source: RNAcentral